CUGAUAUUUAUGCUUUUGUGUCAUCUUUCCUCUUGCAAUGGCUUUGGAAAAGCAAGCUGCUGUGAACCCUACGACAAGGAAACUAAUUCCGAUAAUACUCUGAGAGAGCUUGGAAGAGGAUCCUUCUCCAUUUGAAGCUCCUGAAGGGAACCCAGUCCUGUUAGACAAUUGAUUACAGCCUUGUGAUUCCCUGAGCAGAGGACUUAGCUAUGACUCCAUGAGACUCCUGUGACAAAAUAAAUUUGUGCUGUUUUUAAAUA
Tupaia belangeri chinensis (Chinese tree shrew) is the source of this 260-nucleotide long non-coding RNA. RefSeq lists it as uncharacterized. Lineage: Eukaryota; Metazoa; Chordata; Mammalia; Scandentia; Tupaiidae. The record is from RefSeq and is a predicted model, not a curated record. The transcript is spliced from 2 exons.